This 483-nucleotide ribosomal RNA is filed under the name uncultured bacterium. RNAcentral's name for it is "partial 16S ribosomal RNA". It matches the Rfam family "Bacterial small subunit ribosomal RNA", at positions 28 to 507 of the family's 1533-position model. The record is from RNAcentral.
GAUGAACGCUGGCGGCGUGCCUAACACAUGCAAGUCGAACGGAGUCGUUUUGACAAUCUCUUCGGAGAUGGAAUUCUCGACUUAGUGGCGGACGGGUGAGUAACGCGUGAGCAAUCUGCCUUUAAGAGGGGGAUAACAGUCGGAAACGGCUGCUAAUACCGCAUAAAGCAUUAAAUUCGCAUGUUUUUGAUGCCAAAGGAGCAAUCCGCUUUUAGAUGAGCUCGCGUCUGAUUAGCUAGUUGGCGGGGUAACGGCCCACCAAGGCGACGAUCAGUAGCCGGACUGAGAGGUUGAACGGCCACAUUGGGACUGAGACACGGCCCAGACUCCUACGGGAGGCAGCAGUGGGGAAUAUUGCGCAAUGGGGGAAACACUGACGCAGCAACGCCGCGUGAUUGAAGAAGGCCUUCGGGUUGUAAAGAUCUUUAAUCAGGGACGAAACAAAUGACGGUACCUGAAGAAUAAGCUCCGGCUAACUACGUG